AUGUUGGCAUACGGUAUCCCGGCUGAUCUAGUUGAUGAUCAUUUGGCUAUAGGUGAGAGCCAAGCCAUCAUGUGUGUCAAGCGCUUUGCAGUGGGAAUUGUGCAAGUGUUUGGCGAGGAGUAUUUGAGAGCUCCCACUGUUGAAGACGCCGCAAGGCUAUUGGCGAUGAACAAAGCGCGCGGCUUUCCUGGCAUGCUUGGCUCAAUAGAUUGCAUGCAUUGGAGUUGGAAGAAUUGUCCAAAGGCAUGGCAUGGGCAAUUCCACGGCCAAAAAAAGGGUUCCACUAUAAUCCUUGAAGCGGUGGCCGAUCAGGAGACUUGA
RNAcentral lists this ribosomal RNA (321 nucleotides) under Triticum aestivum (bread wheat). RNAcentral describes it as "partial small subunit ribosomal RNA". Lineage: Eukaryota; Viridiplantae; Streptophyta; Magnoliopsida; Poales; Poaceae. The record is from RNAcentral.